Non-coding RNA from Sus scrofa (pig), 872 nucleotides. The record is from RefSeq and is a predicted model, not a curated record. NCBI's taxonomy places the organism in Eukaryota, Metazoa, Chordata, Mammalia, Artiodactyla, Suidae.
AAAACGGGGGUAGAAGAGGUACUUGAUGUUGUACUCAGUUUGGGCUAAGCAGUAAGCAACCGCCUGGUCACACUUGCACAUGAGUUCUUGACAUUUGUCCUGCGCCGGUCCUAGAAGAAGUGGGGAGAGUGAGGUUAAGGCAGGGACUUGCAGUGACCUGAGGAUAAACCAGUCAAGCUGGAGGCAAGAGGGCCAUAAAUUGCAUCCGGGUGACAGUUCCGAUGUGAUCUCCAUCAUCGAGGCAAGUCCAGAGGGAGGAGAUGUCUGCCCCAAUUUUACAGAAAAGGAAAUUGAAGUUGCCAGGGAAGUGCUUUCAGAUGGAAGUCCCAAGUCCAUAUGCCUUUUGGCUUCUGCAUCAGUAUUAAACCCUUGCAUGUGAGGAUCCGUUUAGAUAAGCAGUAGACGCCUGGGAACCAUCAGGCUUUUUUGGAACAUCUGCUUUGCUCCUUCCUAGCUGCGUGAUCUUAUCUGAACGUUCUGAGCCAAGCCCUCGCUUAGAUGGGGACACUGUCCACUUUGCAGUCUCUUGCAGAUGCUCCUUCAAGAAAAGAGCUUAUUCCCGCAGCCAAUAUAAUAAAUACCCCAAUGGUGAAAAGCUGAAGGCCUUCCAGAUAAAAUCUGGAAGAAGACAAGGAUGCCGACUUUCAAUGCUUCUAUUCAACAAUGGAUUGGAAGUCCUAGCCAUAGCAACCAGUCAAGAAAAAGAAAAGGUAUCCAAACUGGAAGAGAAUAGGUAAAAUCGUCCCUAUAUGCAGAUGACAUGAUACUAUCUAAAAAAAACUCGUUUUCAGUAACAAUCCUGUAUUCCAUCUCUCCCUUCCAUCCUGGCCCUGCCUUACACAGAGACAUAAAGGUUGCCAUCCAAAGAUAAA